AAGGUUAUAUGAUCAAGUAAAGGAAGAGCACAAGGCGGAUGCCUUGGCAGCAUAAGGCGAUGAACGGACGUUAUAACUUGCGAUAAGCUUCGGGGAGCUAGUAAAUAAGCUUUGAUCCGAAGAUU
RNAcentral lists this ribosomal RNA (125 nucleotides) under uncultured SAR86 cluster bacterium. RNAcentral describes it as "partial 23S ribosomal RNA". It matches the Rfam family "Bacterial large subunit ribosomal RNA", at positions 1 to 112 of the family's 2925-position model. The record is from RNAcentral. Lineage: Bacteria; Pseudomonadati; Pseudomonadota; Gammaproteobacteria.